Molecule: ribosomal RNA, 253 nt
Filed under: uncultured bacterium
Lineage: Bacteria
Description: partial 16S ribosomal RNA
Rfam family: Bacterial small subunit ribosomal RNA
Source: RNAcentral
UACGUAGGCAGCGAGCGUUGUUCGGAAUUACUGGGCGUAAAGAGUGUGUAGGCGGUGCCCCCAGUCUGUUGUGAAAUCUCCCGGCUUAACUGGGAGGGUGCAGCGGAAACUAGAGUGCUAGAGGGUGGGAGAGGUAAGCGGAAUUCCUGGUGUAGCGGUGAAAUGCGUAGAUAUCAGGAGGAACACCUGUGGUGUAGACAGCUUACUGGACCACUUCUGACGCUGAGACACGAAAGCGUGGGUAGCAAACAGG